Molecule: ribosomal RNA, 494 nt
Filed under: beta proteobacterium A4
Lineage: Bacteria; Pseudomonadati; Pseudomonadota; Betaproteobacteria
Description: bacterial SSU rRNA
Rfam family: Bacterial small subunit ribosomal RNA
Source: RNAcentral
UGAGGUAAGAGCUCACCAAGGCGACGAUCAGUAGCGGGUCUGAGAGGAUGAUCCGCCACACUGGGACUGAGACACGGCCCAGACUCCUACGGGAGGCAGCAGUGGGGAAUUUUGGACAAUGGGCGCAAGCCUGAUCCAGCCAUGCCGCGUGUCUGAAGAAGGCCUUCGGGUUGUAAAGGACUUUUGUCAGGGAGGAAAUCCCUAGCGCUAAAUAUCGCUGGGGGAUGACAGUACCUGAAAGAAUAAGCACCGGCUAACUACGUGCCAGCAGCCGCGGUAAUACGUAGGGUGCAAGCGUUAAUCGGAAUUACUGGGAGUAAAGCGUGCGCAGGCGGUUGUGUAAGUCUGAUGUGAAUAGCCCCCGGGCUCAAUCCUGGGAAUCUGCAUUGGAGAUCUGCACGGCUAGAGUGCGUCAGAGGGGGGUAGAUUCCGCGUGUAGCAGUGAAAUGCGUAGAGAUGCGGAGGAAUACCGAUGGCGAAGGCAGCCCCCUGGG